RNAcentral lists this ribosomal RNA (678 nucleotides) under Microbacterium phyllosphaerae. RNAcentral's name for it is "bacterial SSU rRNA". It matches the Rfam family "Bacterial small subunit ribosomal RNA", at positions 407 to 1095 of the family's 1533-position model. Lineage: Bacteria; Bacillati; Actinomycetota; Actinomycetes; Micrococcales; Microbacteriaceae. The record is from RNAcentral.
GAUGACGGCCUUCGGGUUGUAAACCUCCUUUAGCAGGGAAGAAGCGAAAGUGACGGUACCUGCAGGAAAAGCGCCGGCUAACUACGUGCCAGCAGCCGCGGUAAUACGUAGGGCGCAAGCGUUAUCCCGGAAUUAUUGGGCGUAAAGAGCUCGUAGGCGGUUUGUCGCGUCUGCUGUGAAAUCCGGAGGCUCAACCUCCGGCCUGCAGUGGGUACGGGCAGACUAGAGUGCGGUAGGGGAGAUUGGAAUUCCUGGUGUAGCGGUGGAAUGCGCAGAUAUCAGGAGGAACACCGAUGGCGAAGGCAGAUCUCUGGGCCGUAACUGACGCUGAGGAGCGAAAGGGUGGGGAGCAAACAGGCUUAGAUACCCUGGUAGUCCACCCCGUAAACGUUGGGAACUAGUUGUGGGGUCCAUUCCACGGAUUCCGUGACGCAGCUAACGCAUUAAGUUCCCCGCCUGGGGAGUACGGCCGCAAGGCUAAAACUCAAAGGAAUUGACGGGGACCCGCACAAGCGGCGGAGCAUGCGGAUUAAUUCGAUGCAACGCGAAGAACCUUACCAAGGCUUGACAUAUACGAGAACGGGCCAGAGAUGGUCAACUCUUUGGACACUCGUAAACAGUGGUGCAUGGUUGUCGUCAGCUCGUGUCGUGAGAUUGUUGGGUUAAGUCCCGCAACGA